RNAcentral lists this ribosomal RNA (440 nucleotides) under uncultured bacterium. RNAcentral's name for it is "bacterial SSU rRNA". It matches the Rfam family "Bacterial small subunit ribosomal RNA", at positions 28 to 507 of the family's 1533-position model. The record is from RNAcentral.
GAUGAACGCUGGCGGUAUGCCUAACACAUGCAAGUCGUACGAGAGUUUUUAACUCUAGUGGCGGACGGGUGAGUAACACGUAAGAAUUUGCCUUUAGGAGGGGGACAACAACUGGAAACGGUUGCUAAUACCCCAUAUGCUUUCGAGUGAAAUGGAUUUUUCCGCCUAAAGAGAAGCUUGCGGCUGAUUAGCUUGUUGGUGAGGUAAUGGCUCACCAAGGCGACGAUCAGUAUCUGGUUUGAGAGGAUGAUCAGACACACUGGAACUGAGACACGGUCCAGACUCCUACGGGAGGCAGCAGUGGGGAAUUUUCCGCAAUGGGCGAAAGCCUGACGGAGCAAUCUCGCGUGGGGGAUGACGGCCUAUGGGUUGUAAACCUCUUUUUUCAGGGAGGAACAAAAUGACGUGUACCUGAAGAAUAAGCAUCGGCUAACUCCGUG